CCUACGGGUGGCAGCAGUGGGGAAUAUUGGACAAUGGGGGCAACCCUGAUCCAGCCAUGCCGCGUGUGUGAAGAAGGCCCUCGGGUUGUAAAGCACUUUCAGUGAGGAAGAACGCCUGGUGGUUAAUACCCAUCAGGAAAGACAUCACUCACAGAAGAAGCACCGGCUAACUCCGUGCCAGCAGCCGCGGUAAUACGGAGGGGGCGAGCGUUAAUCGGAAUUACUGGGCGUAAAGCGCGCGUAGGUGGCUUGAUAAGCCGGUUGUGAAAGCCCCGGGCUCAACCUGGGAACGGCAUCCGGAACUGUCAAGCUAGAGUGCAGGAGAGGAAGGUAGAAUUCCCGGUGUAGCGGUGAAAUGCGUAGAGAUCGGGAGGAAUACCAGUGGCGAAGGCGGCCUUCUGGACUGACACUGCCACUGAGGUGCGAAAGCGUGGGUAGCAAACAGGCUUAGAUACCCGGGUAGUC
Molecule: ribosomal RNA, 465 nt
Filed under: Vreelandella stevensii
Lineage: Bacteria; Pseudomonadati; Pseudomonadota; Gammaproteobacteria; Oceanospirillales; Halomonadaceae
Description: partial 16S ribosomal RNA
Rfam family: Bacterial small subunit ribosomal RNA
Source: RNAcentral